Molecule: long non-coding RNA, 3386 nt
Filed under: Homo sapiens (human)
Lineage: Eukaryota; Metazoa; Chordata; Mammalia; Primates; Hominidae
Description: HSALNT0204881
Source: RNAcentral
CCAGAAUACAACAUAAGGCAGAGUAAGGAAUAAUUCACUCUCUGAAUGACUGUUUUCAAGCUGGGACAUGGGUCUCCUGCCUUCAGACUUGGUCUCAGAUAGAACUUAACCUUCAAUUCUUCUGGUUUUUGGACUGAGAAUAGGAUUGGGGCUUAAACCAUCAGCUUUCCUGGUUCUCGGGUCUUUGGAUCCUGAUUGGAAUGAUAUCAUUGGCUUUCCAGAGUCUUUAGCUUGCUGACUGCAUAUCUUGGAACUUCUCAGCUUUCAUAAUCAAUUACAGUUGAAUAUGAGGAGCUGGAUUGCAGUGUCAUGACCUGGGCUCAGUGUAACUUCCAUCUGCCAGGCUCAAGAGAUCCUCCCGCCUCAGCGUCUCGAGUAGCUGGGACUACAGGAACGUGCCACCAGGCCUGGCUAAUUUUUUAUUUUUUUUGUGAAGACGGGGUUUCACUAUGUGGCUCAGGCUGGUCUCAAACUCCAGGAAUCAAGGGACCCACCUGCCUAGGCCUCCCAAAGUGCUGGGAUUACAGGCAUGAGCUACCGCACCAGGGCUACUGAAAUGUACAUAUGGUAGAGGUGCAGCAUCAGUCAUGCUGAUGAAGAAAACAUCCAUGGGAUUGAUGGAGGAUGAAAACGGGCUCAAUAAAAAUUCACAGAGAAAAGCUGCCUUACGAGAUUGCAAGAGGACAACUCGGCUCUAAAAUCGAUGCAUUAACAUGUCAUUGGAAUUGACCUUGCCAAAAGAUGCCUCCCUAAAUCCACAAGAAUCUCCUUGUUUGAACACAGUUUCUAAUCCAGCUGUAAUGAAGACAGACAACAGUCAAAUUAACAACUGAUCAGGAGGAGAAGUUCAUACUCCUUGAGCUGGAUCUAUCUGCACAUGCACCUGGCCCAGGAAGCUGAAAUGGGAGAUCUGAUGAGCAGUGGAGGACUGAACCAAAGCCCUUGGCUUUUGCUCCAUACCAGUCAGAGUCUCAUCAGGAUAUCAUGUUGCAUUGAGUAGUCAUGUCUCCACAGGCUUUUCUUGGCUGCGACUCUUACUCACGUUUUCCUUGGUUUUGCCCACCUUACAGUUUACAGUAGUGGUCAGGUAUUUUGUAGUAUGUCCCUCACUUGGGCUUUGCUUGAUGCUUAUCUCCUGAGAAAACUAGGGAUAUGUAUUUUGGGGAGGAAGGCCACAGAGAUGAAGUGACAUUCUUUUCACAUCAUAUCAAUGCUACAUACUAUCAAAAGGGCUUAUCACUGUUGAUGUUAAUUUUAAUCACCUGGCUAAGAUAUUCUUUUUCAGGAUUUUGACUUUAAAGUUACCCUUUAUGCUUUUCCUUCUCAUAAAGUGCUCUUUGAAAUGAAGUCACUCUGUGCAGCAGACAUUUAAAAAGCAGGAAAUUAUGGUGACAGAGUAUCUGUAUAAAUUAUUUGCAGUUCUUUUAUUUUCAGAGUUUGGAAUUAUAGCACUCCUAUAAAUCUUAUUACUAAUGGUGCCACAAAUUGUGUACUACUGAUAUGUAUUAGUGCACAACUUAAAGCAUGUGGACAUGAGCUGUAUUUGAAAAAACAUUCAGAUGGAAGAGCUACCUGAUUUGAAGUGAAUCUUAAUUGGAACUUAAUGAUGCCUCCUAGUAAUUUACUAUUUUAGCUGAACCUACAGUAUCAGCUGUAGCCCAGAAAAUAUAAGAGCUACAAUUCGUACAAUUCAACAUCAGCUGCCAAGGCCCACCUGGACUGCACCUGCAAAACCAGCUGUGGUUUCUUUGCUCUCACAAUUCAUGUCAGUGUUUUUCAGCCAAUGCAUCACUGGUUUCGAAUUUUAUACUGUUCCUCUCUCAGUCCUCCACCCCUCUAGUUUCUAAAUGAUAGAGAAUAAUUAGGUGAGGUUUAAACUCUCAGGAUUAUUCAGGGUUUGUGGAGAGUAGGAAGGUUUCUUCCAGGUUACAGCACAAUUUAAGGAGCCUGGCAAGAAGCAUCCAAUAUUAGCAAGUAGAAAAGCAGCAUAAGUAUGAGGUUGGAACUUCCCACGAUACUUAGUACAUGGAAAAAAAUGUAGAACAUACCAAAAAAAAAGCAAAUUGUAAAAAAAUUUCACAAAUAAAAAUACUGUUAUGAAAAUUAUAAUUCACAUUUUUAAUAUUUUUUAUUGUAAAAUGUAUAAAAUUUGCCAUUUAACCUCUUAAGUGUACAAUUCAGUGGCAUUAAUUGUAUUUACAGUUUUGUGCAACAAUCACCACUAUUUUCAAAAAUUUUCAUCAAUCCAAACAGAAACUCUGGCAAUUAGUAACAACUCCCCAUUUUUUAUUCCUAAUCCAUCCCCUAGUAAACUCUAAAUCUUGUCUCUGUGAAUCUCCCUGUUCUAAAUAUUUGUAUAAGAGGAAUCAUACAACAUUGACCCUUUUGUGUCUGGCUAAUUUCACUUUGCAUAAUGUUUAAAAGCUUCAUCCAUAUAGUGACAUGUAUGAGAACUUCAUUUCUUUUUUAUGGCUCAAUUAUAUUCCACAGUAUGCACACACACCCCAUUUUGUUUAUCCAUUCAUCUGUUGAUAGACACACGUGGGUUAUUUCCUCCUUUUGGCUGUUAUGAAUAAUGCUGCUAUAAACACUAGUGUGCAUUUAUCUGAAUUCAUGUUUUACAUUCAUUGGGAUACCAAAUUAAAAUGCUGGGUCAUAUGGUAAUUCUGUUUAACAUUUUAAGGUAUCACCAAACUGUCUUCCACAGCAGCUGCAUCAUUUUAAAUGCAGACCAACAAAGUAUGAUUCUCCAAAUUUCCCAGUUACUCGUCAACUCUUGUUCUACAUUUUCUAACUAUAGUGAUACUAGUAGGUAUAACAUUAUGUCAUUGUGAUUUUGAUUUGCAAUGGCCUAAAAACUAAUGGUUUUUUAAUAACUUUCAUGUUGUACUCAUUGGCCAUUUGCAUAUCUUUAGCAAAAUGUCUAUUCAAAUCCUUUGCCUGUUUUUAAUUGGGUUGUUUUGUCUUUUUGUUGUAGAGUUGUAGUUUUUUAAUGUCUUGAUAUAAAUCUCUUACAAGAUACAUACUUCACAGUACAUUAUCUCAUUUUGUAAAUAAGUUAUUUCACUCUCUUAGUGAUGUUUUUAUUAUCUAAAGGUUUUAAUACUUUUUAAAACUUGUACUGUGAAUAUGAUAUGCCCUGUGAUUAACAAAUUUAUUUAUUACUUAAACAACUUAAUUUUUAAAAAUAAUUGCAUGAAUAUUUUUGUCCUAUUUGUUCCAUUCCUACUUCGUGAACACCAAUUAUCUGUUUGACAGAUUGUCAUUUUCCAUGCUUCAUACAAAUUCUUUUUUCUUCUGCAUUUUUUUCUUUCCAAUCUUUGUGAAUGUAUUUAAUUUUCUUGCCUUGAUAUUCUGACUAGAACCUCCAGUAUAAUUUAUUUAUU